CAACAUACAUCUGAGGAGAAAUGAAAUUGUCUCUGACAUGUUUGUUGGCUGUACUUUUCAAACCAAUAUUUAUGGAACGUUUAUGUCUCAUAAGAGAAGCCGACACACACCUCAUAACCUAACUGAUUUUAUUCCUGGUAUUGUGUUAACAACUACAUUAGCAUCACCAUCCUUACAUGAUUCUUCAGCUGAUUGCCAGGAUGAGGAGUUUGUGGAAGAGGAAGUUUCUGUUGCACCCCUAGAUAAAUGCAGAAUUUAAGCACAUUACCACCGGGCCCCUGCAAUCCAGAUUUCUGUCACAGCUGGAUGUCCGAUCUGACAAACUUCUAAAGCUGUUCGAAAAACGAGGAGGACAGAUAGGCAAGCGUCUUGAGAGAACUUUGGCCCCCAUGACUCAAGCAUGCAAACUAGUCACCUUUCGGCGAAAUUCGCAGUUUUGAAGACAAAAUUGACCACUUGUGUGAUUCGUGGAGAUCCGUUGAGAAAACAUUUGCGGGGGGGGGUCUGAUGGCCAGCCAUGGAGUGCAUGUAGCGCCUGCUAAUACAUUCUCAAUGGAGAGGCGAG
Molecule: long non-coding RNA, 565 nt
Organism: Gadus macrocephalus (Pacific cod)
Lineage: Eukaryota; Metazoa; Chordata; Actinopteri; Gadiformes; Gadidae
Exons: 3
Source: RefSeq, a predicted model, not a curated record